RNAcentral lists this long non-coding RNA (397 nucleotides) under Phoenix dactylifera (date palm). RNAcentral's name for it is "long non-coding RNA (PDAC_LNC022447)". The record is from RNAcentral. Lineage: Eukaryota; Viridiplantae; Streptophyta; Magnoliopsida; Arecales; Arecaceae.
GAUUUUGCGGUCGGCAUCUUCGAAUGGCCAGUCCAUCUCAGACGGAUGACUCUUCCCAGAGUAGCUAUUCUGUGGACUAUGGAAUGAUCACUGGGAAGGACUAUCACAAUAUUCUCCUCUUGGAGAGUUAGUGUGAAGCUCCUCUAGAAUACUAUUAUGAUCCUGUUGUCUACGAGGCACAUUGACACUCAACCAGAUUUUAGAUAUCGAGAUGUAUUUCAUGCUUUAAUUAUAUUAAAAUCAACUGAAUUUAUUGUAUUAUAUGUAUUUUUACUUGUAAAUAUAUUGGUUGGUCUAUUCCAAUUGCAUUCAUGAUAAAAAGACAUCAAAACAAGGUUAAAAUUACAAAAUAGAUAGCAAUCCCAAUCAAAUUUCUAAGUACAACUCAAAAAAAAAA